AUGAGGAUGUGGACUGCUUGGUGUGUGACCAUGUACUUCUUUGGAGCAAGAGCUAAAAUCACCCAAACCUCAAGUCUUGUGGUGAGAGAAGAUGAGAAAACUACUCUGAAAUGCAGUCAAAAUGAUAAUCACAAUAGUAUGUUCUGGUAUAUGCAGCAGCCAGGGAAGGGGCUGCAAUUGAUCUAUUAUUCCUUUGGUGCAAAUGAUAAAAAAGAGGGUGACAUUCCCGAAGGAUUCCAAGCUAACCGGCCAAACCUUGCAGAGUUCAGUUUGGAUAUUUUAUCUGUGAAGAUGAACAAUUCAGCUGUCUAUUUCUGCGCCAGCAAUUCGGACACAACACUUCAAAGUCACUUACUCUCUUUACAUAAACCUCUCUCCUUUCAGAACUUUCCCUCCACUCUCAGCACAGGAAAAGGGUGUGUAGGCUAA
Lepidothrix coronata (blue-crowned manakin) is the source of this 429-nucleotide non-coding RNA. The record is from the annotation of a RefSeq genome assembly. Lineage: Eukaryota; Metazoa; Chordata; Aves; Passeriformes; Pipridae.